UACGUAGGGCGCAAGCGUUAUCCGGAUUUACUGGGCGUAAAGGGCGCGUAGGCGGUCAGCACAAGUCAGUUGUGAAAUCUCCGGGCUUAACUCGGAAAGGUCAACUGAUACUGUGCGACUAGAGUGCGGAAGGGGCAACUGGAAUUCUCGGUGUAGCGGUGAAAUGCGUAGAUAUCGAGAGGAACACCUGCGGCGAAGGCGGGUUGCUGGGCCGACACUGACGCUGAUGCGCGAAAGCCAGGGGAGCGAACGGG
Molecule: ribosomal RNA, 254 nt
Filed under: uncultured bacterium
Lineage: Bacteria
Description: partial 16S ribosomal RNA
Rfam family: Bacterial small subunit ribosomal RNA
Source: RNAcentral